GUGGAAAUCUGUUCUGUAGGAAUUGGUUCAAAACUACGUGAGAAGUGCACCGCAAACUUUUGUGGUGAACAAAAAAAAAAAAAAUCUUACUCUGAUUUUCAGACACUCUGAUCUGCAAACAAGGCUAUGGAUGAAGCACCAGAGGUGAAGCCCGUCGGCUUCUCAUUAAAACCGAUGUUACCACUUCAUCCGCAUUACCCCUGGUAUACGGCUGGCAUUCCACAGAGGCUUUGGGGGUACCCGAGUGCUUGCAGGGUCCACGUUCAGAAGAAGGAAGAGAAACCCUUUGUCCAAAGCUGGACAGGAGCUCUCCUCACUGUUAAUGGAGCAGACAGCCUGUCUCUCCCUAAGGAACAGAGGUGUUCACGUGGGUGCGGUGUAACCUGA
Molecule: long non-coding RNA, 387 nt
Filed under: Rattus norvegicus (Norway rat)
Lineage: Eukaryota; Metazoa; Chordata; Mammalia; Rodentia; Muridae
Description: long non-coding RNA NONRATT031365
Source: RNAcentral